Capsella rubella is the source of this 1183-nucleotide long non-coding RNA. RefSeq lists it as uncharacterized. The transcript is spliced from 2 exons. Lineage: Eukaryota; Viridiplantae; Streptophyta; Magnoliopsida; Brassicales; Brassicaceae. The record is from RefSeq and is a predicted model, not a curated record.
GUGAACUCGCUGUUUCGUUUUGUCUCAUCACCUUGCUUGGAUUCGAGACAUUACAUAUUCGAGCUUCAUCUCAUCUCGCCUUAGUCACUAUCUUCUCAAUUCACCAGGAGAUAUGAUAUACCUUGCCUCACUUCGUCUAAUGUUGACAUAGUUUGGUCGUCUUUUAGGGUGUUUUCAAUUUAUGGUUUUGAAAGCUUUUCAAUGUUUUCCUUUUUCAUCAAACUAAGUGGAUCUUUUGCUAUAACUUGGAUCGAUUGAUUGAAUUAUUGCAGUGAUGGAAGAAGGUUUAUGGUCGAUGUACGGAGAAUUGGAGUUAGCAUCUUAUGGUUUAAGUAAGGAAUCAAUGGUAUUUUAUCUCUAUGUUGGUUAUUCUAUCACUCUUUUUUCGCUAAAGUGCAAAUAUCAUAUAAAAUGAAGAGAUGGUUUUACAACCUAAUGCAUUGAGUUCUUGGUAAAAAAAGGAAAACAAGAACCACAAUAAGCACCCUAGGAUACAACAAAGAUAGGAGAAUGUGAGUUUGGUUAAGCAGGACGUUGUUUCUCUGUUUCCAAAUGGCGUGGAUCACCAAGUGGACGACCAGCUUUCUCAAAGUAGGCGGGGAUCUCCUAUUCUCUACACGAGUCCAGCUUAAGAGAUCAGACCAUGUAGGAAGGGAAAUGGAUGGUAGUUGCAACCUGUCUUUGACUUUUUUCCAAAUGAACAAAGCAAAAUCACAGUGAAGCAGCAGAUGGUCUCUUGUUUCCUGGUGAAGGGAGCAGAGGUCGCAUAUUGUGUUGAUAUUCAUUCCCCAGGUUGAUAGCCUGGCUUUAGUGGGGAGGCGGUUCAAGUUUGAUGUCCACAUGUUGAAGGAGAGUCUCGGCGUGGCUCCUUUGAACCAGACUGAGCCAUACCAGUCCACCGGAGAGGCUCUAGGUCUGACGGCCUCCCAAGUACUAGCCGAAGAGAAGCCAAUACAGAUUUUGUCAUCAACCACCUAAUGAUACGAAUCAUUCUCCACGGAUUGUACCACGGAUUCAAAGUAUUCGAUCACUCUUGUUCUCGGUCCUAUACUUGGUGUGCAUUAUAUCUCAUGUAAGUAUCUUUUACUACAAUGUUGAUCAUAGCAAACUUUGAAUCCCAUAGUUUUGAUUUUAACUUUUGAGUCAUAUGGUGCAUAGUAAUGAUAAUAACGAAACGUUUGUA